RNAcentral lists this unclassified non-coding RNA (896 nucleotides) under Hevea brasiliensis (rubber tree). The record is from RNAcentral. Lineage: Eukaryota; Viridiplantae; Streptophyta; Magnoliopsida; Malpighiales; Euphorbiaceae.
GGACUCUUGCAAGUGAUCCCAAUACUCAGGUUCUAUCUCUGUCUCUUUCAUCAAAUCCGCCAUCUAGAGGUAAUGUAACUCAGUUUGGAGAUGGAUAUGAAUCUGAAAAUUUGCAAUCAAAGUCUAAUGUUCUCAAAGAACCUCAUCAAGAUUCAAAAUUUUUCAAGUCAAAUUAUUUGUGUCCAAUGCCAAAGCCGGCAGCAAUUAUCAGUAGAGGUAGUGGAAAAUCGCUUAAUGAUUCAGUGGGUGCGUCUAAUUAUAAUGUUCUUCGAAAUACUGGUCCUCUUGGGCCUUUUACUGGAUAUGCAACAAUUCUAACGAGUUCUAAAUUCUUAAAGCCAGCGCAACUGCUGUUAAAUGAGUUCUGUAGUGCAUCAGGUUCAAAACUUACAAAAGCUGGUGAGGAGGGUCGGAGGAUAUCUGAAGCUGAUGCAGAGGCUGGGGCUAAAGGCAAUAACAAUAGUUCCAGUGUCUCAUCAACAACAUUCUAUGGAUCCAAUGAAGCAAGUGGUGAUGUUGCAGGUGCAAGAAGUUCUUGCGAAUCCUACAGGCCGGAGUACCAGCAAAAGAAGGCAAAGCUCCUAUAUUUGCAGGAGGAGGUGUGCAGAAGGUAUAAGCAAUACCACCAGCAGAUGCAGAUGGUGGCUUCAUCCUUUGAAUCAGUUGCAGGCCUCAGUGCUGCUACCCCUUACCUUUCUUUGGCUCUCAAGACAAUAUCAAGGAAUUUUAGGUCCCUAAAACAUGCUAUAUCAGAUCAGCUCAAGCAUGUAACAAAGUCCCUAGGGGAAGAUUUGUUGUCCCCAAAUACAGGUGCUAGCAGUAGCAAAGGUGAUAUGAGUACAUCAAGGCUGAGAUUCAUGGAUCAAGGCUUUCAGAGGAACAAAUCUGGUGGGGCU